Long non-coding RNA from Aedes albopictus (Asian tiger mosquito), 1305 nucleotides. RefSeq lists it as uncharacterized. The record is from RefSeq and is a predicted model, not a curated record. NCBI's taxonomy places the organism in Eukaryota, Metazoa, Arthropoda, Insecta, Diptera, Culicidae. The transcript has 3 exons.
UAUGAUAAACAGUUGCUUUUAUGUUGAAGAAUGUGAGAUUCAGCGCAUUCGACUAUAAAUCACGGUUUGUGUAAUCAAUACCAUGUGGUAACAUUAUAUUAUACUGGGCAGAUAUUGUUGAAUAAUAUGGAGAUGGUAGCUCCCAAAAACUGCUGGCAAUGUCAAAUCACCGUAUAUCAAACUGUAUGUGCUUACUCUGUGUAACACACUUACAAACAUGCAUUUCAUUAUAUGUUACUGAUGUUCAACAAUACGGCAAACAGUUUCACGCAUCUGUAUUUGUGAAGCAGGGAAAAUCGACUGAUACUGAAAACAAAACAAAAAAAAAAUGUGGAAGAUGAAAAUUUUAUUUCAGAAGUAGCAGUUAACGUGCUGAUAGCGAUAAGUUGCGUUGAAAACGGUCUCCUUCCGGAUUCGUUCAUCGUCGCCCUCAUCGGUGGCUUACAUCUGGUAGCAACUUGUCACUGUACACGGCAUAGCUCCAGUGACCUUCCAUCUCGCCUUCCAUUUGGAAGUUUUAAUGCCAUCAAAGCGACAUAGAUUCGCACAUCAUUCGGACAGUUUGGCAAGUGCAUCAUCUGCCCAUGGCAUGUCCUGAAGGAACGGUACGUGAUUGUGCUUCCAACGCUGCGGUGGGACAACCCAAUUUGGAUGGAUAUUUCAUCGAUUCGACUCCCAACUCUUUCCAAACCAGCUGACGUUUUUCAAGGUUCAUUUAUCUUGGGAUCCUGCUAACACAGAAAAAGAAAAUAUACGGAGGAGUUGAAGAAGCAGCAGGACACAUUGUAUAUAGACAUAGAAGAUGGUGGAGUCUACCACGAUGCUAUUAAUAAAAGUAAUUAAUUCUUAUUUAAUUUGUUCCUUUUUUAUUUCUCACAUAAAAUAAAUAAAAGAAUAGUAGAUAGCUAUUUAAGUACAAUAUGAUAUACGGCUAUUCUACCAUGGAUAACUAUAAAGCACUAGUUACACAUACCUUUACGAUUUUCUUUCAAAUUUACAGUUAAACUGUUCUCUAACCAUUUGAUUUACAGCGGAUCGUCUAAAAAACUGGACAAUAUAUUGACCAUAUCCUUUACUGUAUUGCGAAAAAUUUGUUCGAGAAAAUGAGCGAUUUUUUAUGGUAACCUAUCUUAACCGCCUAUUCCACAUACUGUAAUUUGGCGGAUUACCAUUUGUCAAACAGGCAAAUCUGUACAGGGUAUGGUUAGCUUACUGUUAUCUCGCAUAGUCUGAGAAACGGUUAAAUGACGAUUGCUAAUAGUCAGCAACAGUAUAAGAAACACUGCAUUUACGGUUAGUGAUUAU